This 72-nucleotide transfer RNA is filed under the name Dipodomys ordii (Ord's kangaroo rat). It matches the Rfam family "tRNA". Rfam says of the family: Transfer RNA (tRNA) molecules are approximately 80 nucleotides in length. Lineage: Eukaryota; Metazoa; Chordata; Mammalia; Rodentia; Heteromyidae. The record is from Rfam by way of RNAcentral.
GGAGGCAUGGCUCAGUGGUAGAGUACUUACCUGACAAGUAUGAAGCCCUGAGUUCAAAUCUUAGUACUGCUG